UACGUAGGGGGCAAGCGUUGUCCGGAAUCAUUGGGCGUAAAGCGCGUGUAGGCGGUCCGGUAAGUCGGUUGUGAAAGUCCAGGGCUCAACCCUGGGAUGCCGACCGAUACUGUCGGACUAGAGUUCGGAAGAGGCGAGUGGAAUUCCCGGUGUAGCGGUGAAAUGCGCAGAUAUCGGGAGGAACACCAAUGGCGAAGGCAGCUCGCUGGGACGUUACUGACGCUGAGACGCGAAAGCGUGGGGAGCAAACAGGAUUAGAUACCCCAGUAGUCC
Molecule: ribosomal RNA, 273 nt
Filed under: uncultured bacterium
Lineage: Bacteria
Description: partial 16S ribosomal RNA
Rfam family: Bacterial small subunit ribosomal RNA
Source: RNAcentral